Molecule: microRNA precursor, 142 nt
Filed under: Eucalyptus grandis
Lineage: Eukaryota; Viridiplantae; Streptophyta; Magnoliopsida; Myrtales; Myrtaceae
Description: mir-399 microRNA precursor family
Rfam family: mir-399 microRNA precursor family
About the family: mir-399 was identified in both Arabidopsis thaliana and Oryza sativa computationally and was later experimentally verified. mir-399 is thought to target mRNAs coding for a phosphatase transporter. The mature sequence is excised from the 3' arm of the hairpin.
Source: Rfam by way of RNAcentral
CGUUGCAUUACAGGGCAAGUUCUCCACUGGCAGGUGGCCACUCGCUGCGAAACUUUCGGGGGAAAAUAUUUUUUCCUGGGAAAAUCGGAUGCGUUUUCUGAGUGUGCUCUCUGCCAAAGGAGAUUUGUCCGGCAAUUCUUCU